UCCCGAAAGAAUUAAGUACUUAACCCGAGGUACCACUGUAGACUGUAGCUGAUUAUGCUGAUUAAUAAAAAGUGAUUAGGUAAUCAGUAAAAAAAAAACCAGCACCAUUUUUAAUCCUUGGACCUGUAUGAACAAAGAAGGUGACUUGUACUGAAUCAGACAGUUGGCCCAUUUUGCUCAGGAGGGUUUAUGCUGACUGACAAGAGUGCACCAUACAGUCUGAAGAAGAAGAAGAAGCCAGCUGCACUCACUUCAGCUUUUGGGAAGGCCUGAUCGCAUGAAGGAGCUGCGUGAGUACAGCUAUUUUCCAUUCAGAGCUUUGCUGAAUGCAGAGGCAUGGAGCCAGCCAGUGAAGAGCUAGGAGAACACCUCUUUUUCUGUAUGGGACAAAAGUUAAUAUAUUUUUGUGAGAGAAUAUCCUGUAUCCUUUAUUUAUUUAUUUAUUUGUUUUAAAAAAGGUUUCUCCAUGUGAACCAGGAAGCUACUUCUCCAGACAACGGAAUGACUCUUCUUUUUUUAUCUCUGCAACUGCAAUCUCUUGGGUGUUGUGGACACCGUUAGGCUGUUGAAUACACAUGUGUACAGUAUUCUCCUCUAUUUCCCUCCCUCCCACUCACCACCAAUGCGUGGCCUUGGGCACUGGCAACCCACACUACGCCACUCCUCAAAUCUUUGUUUUGUUUACCUAACAAAAUUUAUAUAGAGUGCUUUUUAAAAAAGCAGCUUCCGAAAGUGGUUUGCAAAAAUAUACACCGGCAAAUAAACUGGUAUAAAAAUGGAAGAAAAUGAGAGGCUGUAUUUGGUUUUUAGUCAGAUACAUAUCUUCCAGCAGACCACAGUCGUUCCUAUGGGAGGCCAGGAUAAUGAUCACUAUUUGCACAAAGCCUUUCUUGAUAAUCAAGAUGGGCUUUUUUUUGCUUAUUUUGAAGCAGGAGGGUGAAUAUGUGGUGUAACUCAAGCUGCUGCUUGGGUUGUAAAGAACAAAGAGUUGGUUUGAUAAGCCCAGGUGGAGGUGCUUCUUGGUCUAUAAAUAGGUUUACAUAGCUGUGCUGCUUUGGGGAGGACUUUUUUGUGGCGCAGAGGUAGGUGCUUGUUGCAGCCUAAGGAGACUUGAGGUAUUUAUUAGGCUUCAUGUACAACCUAGGGAACGCUUUGCAUAUUUUUGCUUUCCAGCUUCCUUUCCACAUCCUUGCAGUAUUCACAUCUAAUUAGGGAAGUUCAUGAAACAAGUUUUUGAUAUUUAACCAGCGGGUCCCUUGUGUGAGACCGCAGGGAGUAAGAUUUCUAUUCAUCCAGGAAAGAAAAGAUGUUAAAUCUGCAUCCCACUUCAAAUAAGUUUUUAAAAUCUCUCUCCCCCACCCCGGAAAUACUUCAGCUCAACUUGUGGGGGAAAUCAAUUAAGCCAUCAUAGGCUGGAGCUGGAAUAUUAACUAUAACACCAACAUUUAACCAGGAUUAACUCUUCUUCUUUUUCCUAGUAGGUUACUAUACCUUUCAUGGCAGGAGCAAAAUCCAUCAGCUGAAACAUUUUCCACCAUUACAACUGCAAGUAUUUCCUCUUCUGAGUUUCUGCCUAUUGCAGUUAAAAAUAAAGAGUCCACCAUCCAGCGAAAGUGUUGGGGAGCCCUAUAAAUAAUAUGGUACCUGAAUACCAGGUGUAGGACCAUAAAGAAUGCUUUAGCACUGGCUUUUCAGAAAACACCAAUGUUGUUAUCUGCUGUUUAAUACCCUACUUACCAAAUAGAUGGUUGCACAAUAAAGACUGUAAUGGAAA
This 1774-nucleotide long non-coding RNA is filed under the name Podarcis lilfordi (Lilford's wall lizard). The record is from RNAcentral. Lineage: Eukaryota; Metazoa; Chordata; Lepidosauria; Squamata; Lacertidae.